AUGAAAGUUUUCUUCGUAAAUUUUUUAUUUGUGUUUCCUUUGAUGAUCUAGACAACUGUCGUUUGUCAUUUGUUUUCAAAUUAAUAAUUGUGUUUGUGAAGCAGACGAUAUGUUUUCAUUUCUAAUAAGAAACUUGGUGUUUGCUUGUGCUUGGUCUGUUUGUUCCUAAUUUGGAAAAGUAUUCCUUAAACUUCUUGGUUAUCAGCUCUAACCAAGUUUUCACAUUUAAGAUUUUUUGACUAAAAAGAUGUUUUUCACUGGAGGAGCUGGGACUGGGUACAUCAGAAGCCCCUGUGUAGUUGAGCUGUUGGAACUUUAUUUCUUGCGAGAAGUAUGUCCACUCUAUAUUAAUGGAGAAAAAUGCACUGCUCAGCAACUGCCACUGCUCAGUUUCAACUAUGUGUUCAGCAGAUCCUCCAGAAACUGCAUCUUCAACUGUUCAACAGCAGAUCUGUCAACUUCAGGUUGAGCUGCAGCUGGCCUUCCCUUUACAGCUAAUAUUGGCUGCUUCUGGGAGUGAUAGCAUUCAGCUAAGGCUUCAGCCAACUAAUAAAAGGAAUAACCUUAACAUUGCCACGGAAUCAGUCAUUGCAAAGAUUUCACUAUACAAUAGCGACGAAAUUAACGGUGAAGAAGUUAAAUAUAAAAAACAGAGCUGAGAAACACUCAAUUGAUAAUUCUCCCAGCAAAGAUUCAUCGAGUAGUUCAUUCAGGGCUAAGAAAGAGAAGUCAAAGUUGGAGAAGGAGCUGUUGUCUUCUGUGGUCUCUGCAAUCGAGCUUAUGUCUCAUGUUGAGUCAGCUUACAAAGAUAGGGAAGUUGAAACAUACACCAAGCAAGUAGAAAAGUUUGAGUUGCACAUUCAUGAGUUCACACUCUAAGUGGAAGAGCUCAACAGCACUAUUAUCGACAUCAGCAGCCACAAAACUCGUUUGAAAACAUUGAACUGACCAAGGAAGUACGAGAGCUGAAAUUCAGCUACGAAAACAUCAGCUAUUUGAAAAGCAACUCAGCUCAAGCCAAAUAAAUUCGAAGAUCUGCGUCGUCGCUUUGAAGACAAAAAACGCCGCCGUUCCCCUUUGGAAGGUAAUUUGCACUCAGUCAAAAUUGAGCUGGAGUCGAUCCGCGUUCAGCUGGAAGAGGAAGCGGAAGCUUGCUUGGAUUUGGAACGUCAGCUCUCCAAAGUCAACCAGGAUUGUCUGUCUUGGAAAUCCAAGUACGAACAUGCCUGCACUUUUCACACCGAAGAGAUCGAAGAAAUCAGGCGCAAAUUUCACAUCCAGGUGACUUAACUGGAAAAACAGAUCAGCGCUCUGAUCUCCAAAUGCUCAGGUUUGGAGAAGAGCACGUUACGUUUACAGAGUGAGGUAGACGUUCUCAUCAUCGAUUUGAAGAAGGCUAAUAGCACCGCUCGAGAGAUGCAGAAGCGCAGCAAGCAACUGGAGCUCAUCAACAUUGAAUUCAAAUCCAAGUUGGAUAAGAUUGAGCUGACUGUCCUAUACGACGCUUCCCCUCACGAACUGAACAAAACUCGCGAACGGAAAGAUCAGCUUACCCGUGAAAACAAGAAAUUGGAUGAGAUCGCUGAGCUGAAGAGCCAGUACUCUGAAGUCUGAACUCAACAGCAGAUUCUAUUAGUUAGAAAUUGAAUAUCGCCGUCUAGAAAACGAACUUGAAGAGUUGCGUUAACCAUACAAAGAAAUCCAGAGACUGCUCGUAAAGUUGAAGAACAUCGCGUUCGUCGCAUGGAAUGGCAGCUUAGAUGAACCAAUCAAUCUCGAUAUGGAAAGCCGACUUACCGAUGAGGAGGAAGAUCUCAAGUCUAUAAAGUAAUUACGUAUAUCAGCUUUAGCGCUAAAGUAAUUCCAUUUGAGUCACUUAUUCACUCCCAAACGAUUUUUAAAGGAAGCAAAUGUCAGCAAAUGUCUAUAUCGAAAUCUUGUCCAUGCGGAAACCAAGUUGAAAACCGAAAUCCAGCGCAUUCGGAAGAAGAUGAUAAUCACAAUCACCGAGUUGGAAAUGGGGGGUAACUUAAUCUCGGGGGUCGGGGAACUAAAGCUCGGGGAAAAUGGCUACGACCGAGUCCCCGUUCAAACGGAGUGACGGGUAAACAAAAAAAGAUUAAAACUCGGGGAAUUGACUCGGGGACGGGGAGUCGGGGAAUGAUUUUUUUGGGCUGACGGAGUAUGGCACGUUAGGCCUAUUUGGCUCACAUCUAUUUGAUGAAAAAUACCGAAAAAUAUUUGUAAAAUCCGUUAAAAUCAAAUUGCAAUGAUAAUUUUUAAAAUAAUUUUUAAAAUAAUUUUUAAAAUAAUUUUUAAAAUAAUUUUUAAAAAUAUCGAUAUUUUUAAAAUCAGACCGCAAACAAAUCAAAAAAAUUUUGAAAAUCUGUUUUUUUUUCUUUUUUAAAAUUUGCAGUUUGUCUUUCACUCAACAUCUUAAUAAUAUUUUCACAUUUUUUUUUUAUUUUUAAAAAUAAUUUAAAUUGAAAAUCUUUUUUUUUCUUUUUUAAAAUUUGCAGUUUGUCUUUCACUCAAUAUCUUAAUAAUAUUUUCACAUUUUUUUUUAUUUUUAAAAAUAAUUUAAAAAAUGUUUUAAAAAUGAGAGCCUAAUCCGGUUUUUUUGCAUGUUUGCAUAUAAAAAGGAACUUGGAAGUCAGUUGUGUGUCAAUAGAAGAAUGGAUUUAAAUAGUCCAAUUUUCAGUUUUAAUUCAGUUUCAAAACGGAAACUUCAGGGACAUUUCUAACAAAAACGACAAAACCUUACCGCGGUCAUAUUCCCGAAUUAAUUUUUCUUAUAAUAAAUCUUAAAUAUAGGUCAAAAUAAGACUUUUUGCGGUGUUCUGCCGAAUAAGGUAACAAUGUAUUUGAAUAUGAACAUGAAUAAAAUGGAAGUUGGAUCGAA
This is a long non-coding RNA of Daphnia pulex (common water flea), 2902 nucleotides long. RefSeq lists it as uncharacterized. NCBI's taxonomy places the organism in Eukaryota, Metazoa, Arthropoda, Branchiopoda, Diplostraca, Daphniidae. The transcript has 11 exons. The record is from RefSeq and is a predicted model, not a curated record.